RNAcentral lists this ribosomal RNA (1218 nucleotides) under uncultured bacterium. Its description in RNAcentral is "bacterial SSU rRNA". It matches the Rfam family "Bacterial small subunit ribosomal RNA", at positions 169 to 1387 of the family's 1533-position model. The record is from RNAcentral.
CCGGAUAGGUAUACAGAGCGCAUGCUCAGUAUAUAAAAGCGCCCAUCAAGGCGUGAACAUGGAUGGACCUGCGGCGCAUUAGCUAGUUGGUGAGGUAACGGCCCACCAAGGCGAUGAUGCGUAGCCGGCCUGAGAGGGUAAACGGCCACAUUGGGACUGAGACACGGCCCAAACUCCUACGGGAGGCAGCAGUAGGGAAUUUUCGUCAAUGGGGGAAACCCUGAACGAGCAAUGCCGCGUGAGUGAAGAAGGUCUUCGGAUCGUAAAGCUCUGUUGUAAGUGAAGAACGGCUCAUAGAGGAAAUGCUAUGGGAGUGACGGUAGCUUACCAGAAAGCCACGGCUAACUACGUGCCAGCAGCCGCGGUAAUACGUAGGUGGCAAGCGUUAUCCGGAAUCAUUGGGCGUAAAGGGUGCGUAGGUGGCGUACUAAGUCUGUAGUAAAAGGCAAUGGCUCAACCAUUGUAAGCUAUGGAAACUGGUAUGCUGGAGUGCAGAAGAGGGCGAUGGAAUUCCAUGUGUAGCGGUAAAAUGCGUAGAUAUAUGGAGGAACACCAGUGGCGAAGGCGGUCGCCUGGUCUGUAACUGACACUGAGGCACGAAAGCGUGGGGAACAAAUAGGAUUAGAUACCCUAGUAGUCCACGCCGUAAACGAUGAGAACUAAGUGUUGGAGGAAUUCAGUGCUGCAGUUAACGCAAUAAGUUCUCCGCCUGGGGAGUAUGCACGCAAGUGUGAAACUCAAAGGAAUUGACGGGGGCCCGCACAAGCGGCGGAGUAUGUGGUUUAAUUCGAAGCAACGCGAAGAACCUUACCAGGCCUUGACAUGGAAACAAAUACUCUAGAGAUAGGGGGAUAAUUAUGGAUCACACAGGUGGUGCAUGGUUGUCGUCAGCUCGUGUCGUGAGAUGUUGGGUUAAGUCCCGCAACGAGCGCAACCCUUGUCGCAUGUUACCAGCAUCAAGUUGGGGACUCAUGCGAGACUGCCGGUGACAAACCGGAGGAAGGUGGGGAUGACGUCAAAUCAUCAUGCCCCUUAUGGCCUGGGCUACACACGUACUACAAUGGCGACCACAAAGAGCAGCGACACAGUGAUGUGAAGCGAAUCUCAUAAAGGUCGUCUCAGUUCGGAUUGAAGUCUGCAACUCGACUUCAUGAAGUCGGAAUCGCUAGUAAUCGCAGAUCAGCAUGCUGCGGUGAAUACGUUCUCGGGCCUUGCACA